UUGUUUUGGUAUGGGUGGAGAAGCUUGGUGCACUAACAUGUUCAAUGUAUCUGGUGUGAGAAAGGACAAGAUCAUGUUUGCGAACAGGUCUGUAAGGUACAACUUUGGGGCUGACUCCAUUUUAGCUGUCAACAUCUUCAGAGGACUCAAUGGAAGAUUGGAUGGGACUUUCCAGAGCAUUACAGUCAUCAGUAAGGAAUGCCAAGUCCUGGAGAAACAAGAGAGAUGGCUGAUGUUAUAAGAAGGAAGACAGAGGAUAGUGCACAUUGGCUGCUUCUCCCGUGCAGAAGGAAGAAGGCAGUGUGAAAACUUACGUGAAUGUCCAAGUACAGCCUGGGCAGCGUCUCUACACAUGAGUCCUGCAGAAAAGAAGAAAGAUCAGUAGCAAUUUUAUUUUGAGAGCUACUUGUAUCAAAAGCAAGCAACCUGCAAUGUCUUUGUAGGAGUUUUUAGGCUGACUAACCUUAGCCUUGGAGGUCUGCAGCUCCUUGAAGGACUCAGUGAUUUCUUUGCUCAGAGAUAACACCCUGGAGUAGCAAGUUGGAGGGGCUGCUCUGGCUAGCAGGGCUGCAGAGAGCAGA
Molecule: long non-coding RNA, 581 nt
Organism: Lagopus muta (rock ptarmigan)
Lineage: Eukaryota; Metazoa; Chordata; Aves; Galliformes; Phasianidae
Exons: 3
Source: RefSeq, a predicted model, not a curated record